AAUGAACGCUGGCGGCGCGCCUAAUACAUGCAAGUCGAGCGAGAAGACGUAGUAAUACGUUUGUAAAGCGGCGAACGGGUGAGGAAUACAUGGGUAACCUACCCUCGAGUGGGGAAUAACUAGCCGAAAGGUUAGCUAAUACCGCGUACGCUCCUUGGACUUCGGUUCAGGGAGGAAAGCGAUACCGUGGGUAUCGCGCUCUUGGUUGGGCUCAUGUCCUAUCAGCUUGUUGGUGAGGAACGGCUCACCAAGGCUUCGACGGGUAGCUGGUCUGAGAGGACGAUCAGCCACACUGGCACUGCGACACGGGCCAGACUCCUACGGGAGGCAGCAGUAAGGAAUAUUGCGCAAUGGGCGAAAGCCUGACGCAGCGACGCCGC
This 380-nucleotide ribosomal RNA is filed under the name uncultured bacterium. Its description in RNAcentral is "bacterial SSU rRNA". It matches the Rfam family "Bacterial small subunit ribosomal RNA", at positions 29 to 400 of the family's 1533-position model. The record is from RNAcentral.